CAGACCGCAAGUCAGGGGCAACUUACGCCCAUUGAAGGUUUCCAUUGAUGUGGUGUUUUCGAUUAAGUGCAUGCAUUUAUGAAGGAAGUAUUACAGGGUCAAUGACGAAGAUUUUGAAGGAGAUGAGGUCCUGGUCCACACCUGCGGAUUACCUGGUUUGGGGGGACCGUUGCUGUUCCUGUCCUUGUCCACCUGGUCAUACUUCUGACCUAGUCUAAAAUCAAAUAUACUCUGGAUUUAGCCAAGAGAAAUGUAUUUAUUAUUCCAAUUGGACUCUUAAUAUCUCACCCGGCACAGCCAGAAGAGGACUGGUCACCCCUCUGAGCCUGGGUCCUCUCUAGGUUUCUUCCUAAAAUUCGACCUUCUUAGGGAGUUUUUCCUAGCCACUGAAAUUCAACACUACUGUUGUUUGCUCCUUGGGGUUUAAGGCCGGGUGUCUCUGUAAAGCACUAAAGCGCUAUAUAAAUAAAUUUUGAUUGAUUGAUUGAUUGAUGUGGCGCAUGGAUUGCGAUUAUUACCUAAAACCUACCGGUAACGUACUGCGCGUUCCAGCUUGCAGUGCAGCUGCAACUUUGCUUCAAUCGAAUCCUGGUUGAGGCGUAUUGACAGUGCAUGAGGCUCCAACAGAGGGUGGUGCGAAAUGUACACGGCCUGGAUUUGACAGAUGGAUGUCAAACACGGUUGCCUUGUCUCGCACCACAUGGGGCUUAAGCCAGGUCUAGUCUAUUAGGGUACGUUAUAACUAGCUAAAGAUGUGUGAUGCACCUGUCACUCUAUGCAAGCAGGCAAGAUCCAUUUAUUUUGUAGCUUAAUAUACACUAUGUUGUCAUUAUUUAGAAAUGUAAACAAAAGAAUAAUUUGUCAUGGCCAUCUUCUAUGCAGUGGUGUAAAAAAUAGUAUUUGGCUGUGUUCACCGGUUUUGUGAAGUUGCUAAGGAUGAGCUAAAUUACCUAAACAGAGUUCAUAACUAACCAGUGAUCUUAAUUGAUUAUUUACACUCUUCCUUUUAAUUUUAUUGAUCACUGGUUAGUUUUGAAUUCCCAAAAUUUUGUACAAUUAUGAGAUUAGUGUGUUUGGCAACAAAGAAAACAAAGCAAGUAUUAGUAAAGAGCUGGAUUCUCAAGCCCUUAAAACCAGGGAUCAAGUGCGUAAUCUUGGUGUUCUGAUAAAACUCAGACCUCACAUUUAACAGUCAUAUUCAAACAGUCACCAAAACAGCAUUCUAUCAUCUAAAAAAUAUUGCAAGAUUUUCAGGCUUGGUGCCCCAAAAAGACCCAGAGAAGCUCAUCCAUGCUUUUAUCUCUAGUAGGGUUGACUACUGUAAUGGCCUCUUAACUGGACUCCCCAAAAAUACUUUAAAACAGCUGCAGCUCAUUCAGAAUGCUGAAUGAGCUGCAGGACCAAGAGAAAAGAACACAUCACUCCGGUUCUUAAAUCUUUGCAUUGGCUUCCAGUCAGUUACAGAAUAGAUUUCAAAGUGGUGCUUUUAGUUUAUAAAUCUCUGAAUGGUUACAUUUCUGAUAUGUUUGAAGAAUAUAAACUGAGCAGGGCUCGAUGUAUGAAUUGUGCUAUAUAAAUAAAUUUGCUUGCUUUACCUGGUUACUUAGAUCUUAAUUAGAUACUUCCCUAAAGUGGUGAACAAAGCCGAACACAGUUGAGUACUUUUACUUUGCACUUUGUACACCUCUACUUCUAUGUGAUUUUUUGGAUCUUUCAUUUCAGUUCCAAAGAUGCGUUGUUGAGCUGGGGGAUGCUGUUGCCUGGGUAAAUGCCACCACGGGCCUGUUCUGAGACGGUGUACAAGUCCUCACCCCUGAAUGAUGAGGAAAUACAGCUCUGCAGAUGCUCAGAGGCCUCAACUGUAGAGGAAGAACAAGAAGCUCUCUCCCAUUCAUGUUUUUGUUUAAUAAUUUUGAAGACACUGAAACAUUCAUAGACGAAAUAGACAAAAGAGGACUUAGUGAUAAUUUUGAGCUUCCCUGUUAAUUAUGUUUGUUGAUGAGGAUACCUAUUAGCUGUCUUUAAACCAUCAGCUAAUGCUGGGUUCCACACAACAAAAAUUACAAGCUCCAGAAAACACAAUAUAAUUUGACGAGACAAAGAGACAAGGAACAUCAUUUAUUUAGCAAGAGUAAACUGGACAGUGUUUUGGAAGUGUUCACCUGGCCAUACAACAUGAUAGGAUGAAUCCAAAGCCUACAGAAUCUGGGCAAAGCUGAAUACACAGUACAUAAAGAAACAGUUUAGUUUUGACAGUGUUGGAAUGUAAUGUUUAGAAUAUUUAAUGGGGUAAUUAAAUGUUUAAUUGUCUAACUGGCAUAUCAUUUAAUUUUGUAUUUCUUAGGUUAUGCCAUUAACUGGCCUAUAUUAAUUGACUUUCAAUAAUGUAUUUUGUGCUCUUUUUGACCUGUUCUACUUGUAAUUUAUGCUAUUGAAACAACUUUUAGGAUAAGGGUUGAAUUAGAUGUAACACAUAUUCCUCCCAACAAUGUUUUAAGUCCAUAACCAUAUCAUUACUAUAUAAUAAAAAUGGUGCUUGUUCCAGGCACCCCUGGAUAAAUGUAUUGUUCUGUAAACAGAUGUUGACCUGACCUCUAAAUUAUGCAAAUUUAAACUUGCCACCUUUCUGCAACAGGCUAUAGAAAAUUCCACACUUCCAGUUACCAAUUUCAACUUUCUAGAAGAUUGCUGUUCAAUUGAACAAUGCAAGUCAGAGGAAGGAGAAACCAUUACAAUGAUUUGUAUGAAAACUGGUCAGAUCUAUACAGCAGAACCCACAGGUCUCGGAAAAGGACCUUCAGAACAGUUUAGCUGUCACUGAAGUUGUUGCUCACAGGUCCACCGCACAGUGUACCUUACACAGUAUGUUCACAUUUGUCUAAUAUGUUGAAUCUAUGGAAAAUACAUAAAUGGUAAUACUGUAUAGCAUAGCAUAGCAUAGCAUCAUCUUCCGCUUAUCCGGGGCCGGGUCGCGGGGGCAGCAGUCUAAGCAGGGAAGCCCAGACUUCCCUCUCCCCAGACACUUCCUCCAGCUCUUCCGG
Molecule: long non-coding RNA, 3041 nt
Organism: Esox lucius (northern pike)
Lineage: Eukaryota; Metazoa; Chordata; Actinopteri; Esociformes; Esocidae
Source: Ensembl